GGCAUGCUAUACAUGCAAGUCGAACGAACUCUGGUAUUGAUUGGUGCUUGCAUCAUGAUUUACAUUUGAGUGAGUGGCGAACUGGUGAGUAACACGUGGGAAACCUGCCCAGAAGCGGGGGAUAACACCUGGAAACAGAUGCUAAUACCGCAUAACAACUUGGACCGCAUGGUCCGAGCUUGAAAGAUGGCUUCGGCUAUCACUUUUGGAUGGUCCCGCGGCGUAUUAGCUAGAUGGUGGGGUAACGGCUCACCAUGGCAAUGAUACGUAGCCGACCUGAGAGGGUAAUCGGCCACAUUGGGACUGAGACACGGCCCAAACUCCAACGGGAGGCAGCAGUAGGGAAUCUUCCACAAUGGACGAAAGUCUGAUGGAGCAACGCCGCGUGAGUGAAGAAGGGUUUCGGCUCGUAAAACUCUGUUGUUAAAGAAGAACAUAUCUGAGAGUAACUGUUCAGGUAUUGACGGUAUUUAACCAGAAAGCCACGGCUAACUACGUGCCAGCAGCCGCGGUAAUACGUAGGUGGCAAGCGUUGUCCGGAUUUAUUGGGCGUAAAGCGAGCGCAGGCGGUUUUUUAAGUCUGAUGUGAAAGCCUUCGGCUCAACCGAAGAAGUGCAUCGGAAACUGGGAAACUUGAGUGCAGAAGAGGACAGUGGAACUCCAUGUGUAGCGGUGAAAUGCGUAGAUAUAUGGAAGAACACCAGUGGCGAAGGCGGCUGUCUGGUCUGUAACUGACGCUGAGGCUCGAAAGUAUGGGUAGCAAACAGGAUUAGAUACCCUGGUAGUCCAUACCGUAAACGAUGAAUGCUAAGUGUUGGAGGGUUUCCGCCCUUCAGUGCUGCAGCUAACGCAUUAAGCAUUCCGCCUGGGGAGUACGGCCGCAAGGCUGAAACUCAAAGGAAUUGACGGGGGCCCGCACAAGCGGUGGAGCAUGUGGUUUAAUUCGAAGCUACGCGAAGAACCUUACCAGGUCUUGACAUACUAUGCAAUUCUAAGAGAUUAGACGAUCCCUUCGGGGACAUGGAUACAGGUGGUGCAUGGUUGUCGUCAGCUC
RNAcentral lists this ribosomal RNA (1054 nucleotides) under Lactiplantibacillus plantarum. RNAcentral's name for it is "bacterial SSU rRNA". It matches the Rfam family "Bacterial small subunit ribosomal RNA", at positions 41 to 1061 of the family's 1533-position model. The record is from RNAcentral. Lineage: Bacteria; Bacillati; Bacillota; Bacilli; Lactobacillales; Lactobacillaceae.